CUGAGUUCAGGUUUCCUACAGGCGCAAGCCCCUAUAGUUAAUUACCCCUCCUGAUAACAGGAGAGAAAUUUUGAUUAAGGCUAGUCUGAAAACUUUGGUUUUAUGAACUGCAUGUUGUUUCUGUUAUUGAGAAUGUUUAACAGGAUUUUGUUUUAUUUGUAGGUUUGAAUCUGUAUAUAUGGACGAAGAGAUUAGAGUUGCCAAGGACAUUCGAGGCGAUUACUUAGUUGUUGAUCGAGCUCCUUAUUCUUGGAAAGAAUGAAGCUUUACGUUCUCAAUUCAGGUUUGAGGCCAUUAUUGUAUGCACCUGGAUGGAGAGAUGUGUAUAUUCUAACUUGAUAGGUAAAUGCAGAUAGUAAACUUUACUAAUGGCUCUUAGAUUUCGUUUGGAACAGUUUUUUUAAUGCUUUUUAAAACGGUUUUUUAGUUAAAAAAAUUUUUGUACUAAAAAAAUUGUUUUUGAAAAUAGUAAUAAAGUUAUC
Long non-coding RNA from Dendrobium catenatum, 482 nucleotides. RefSeq lists it as uncharacterized. Lineage: Eukaryota; Viridiplantae; Streptophyta; Magnoliopsida; Asparagales; Orchidaceae. The transcript has 2 exons. The record is from RefSeq and is a predicted model, not a curated record.